This 1032-nucleotide long non-coding RNA is filed under the name Phascolarctos cinereus (koala). Its description in RNAcentral is "lncRNA (ENSPCIG00000036401.1)". Lineage: Eukaryota; Metazoa; Chordata; Mammalia; Diprotodontia; Phascolarctidae. The record is from RNAcentral.
UUGCGGCUGCAGCCGUCCCUGCUGCCGCCACAGCUGCCCCUGCCGCCUCCGGCUCUUGCUCGCGCUCCUGCUUCAGCUCCCGCUGCCAUUGACGUCAGAGGGGCUGGCACAUGACUUUGGAGAGACCAAUCAGGAAAGCCCUGGGCUGCUUCUGCACUCUCUCAACACAACUCCUGCUCCCUCCAUCUCCCCCUUCCCCCCGCCCUCCUCCCCUCCUCCCUUCUACUCUCCCACCCCCCACUACUCCCCCUCCCCCCUCCCUUCGGUUUCGGCGGCGGCGACGGCGGCGGCAGCAGCAGCAGCAGCACUAACUCCGCUGCUCCCCCCCACCUUCCUCCUCCAGCUCACACAGGCACACACACAUAUUCACACAUACACACACUCACUGUACGCUCACACUGUACACACACCCGCACUGUACACACGCGCACACACAUUGUGCACCCAGGCAGGCGCGGAGCCGGGAGAGGGGAGGAGAGGACAGGAGGGGGGGGAAAAGCCCCCCCCCUUCCCCACUACCCCAGGCUGUGGGGCGGGCGGCACAAAGAGAGAAGCAGCUUCCUCGCUCGCUCCGUUCCCCCUCCUCUCCCUCUCGUCCACCUUUGUCAGCGCGGCGGCUCUGCCUCCUUCCCCCGCCUCCGCCACGCUCGGCGCUGGGCACCGCCACGGAGGACAUGCCUUUCGCCGGCUAGGCUAGCCCGGGGAGGAGCGCUCCGAGGAUCCGGGCAGGCAGUCGGGCGGACGAGCCGCGAGGGAGCGGGCAGAGCGGCGCGGAGCCGAGAGGGGCUGCCGCCGCUGCCGCCGCCGCUCGUGCUCCGCGGGCGCCCCGCGGCCAGUCGGGCUCGCGCCUCCCGCUCCCGGUCCACUCCUGCCCCCUCCCACCGGGGGCUCUUUGGAUUUCCCCCUCCCCCCGCCCACCUCACCCGUGAGUGGGGGGCGGGGGGGCGGGGGCUGCCGUGACACGGACGGUCCUCGGGGCUCCCUCCGUCCCUCCCUCCUCCUCCCCCGGGAGGUGGCGGUGAGGAGGAGGAG